AAAGAAAAUCUCCGCGGGAGCAGAGCGGUGACCGUACCAAAUCUGACACAGGAGGGCGAGGCGAAUAGCCUCAGGCGCGCGAGAGAACCCUACGUGAAGGAACUCGGCAAAUUAACCCCGUAAGUUCGCGAUAAGGGGUGCCCCCCGUAAGGGGGGCCACAGGAAAACGACAGCUGCGACUGUUUACUAAAAACACAGGUCUCUGCGAAGUCGUCAAAGACGACGUAUAGGGACUGACGCUUGCCCGCUGUUGGAACGUUAAGGUGACUGGUUAGCCGCAAGGCGAGGUUGGGAACCGAAGCGCCAAUGAAGGGCGGCCGUAACUAUGACGGUCCUAAGGUAGCGAAAUUCCUUGUCGGGUAAGUUCCGACCCGCACGAAUAGCGUAACGACAGCUGUACUGUCUCCACGAGGGACUCGGCGAAAUUGUAGUUGUGGUGAAGAUGCCACAUACCCGCACCAAGACGGAAAGACCCCGUGAACCUUUACUGUAACCUAAUACUGGCUCUAGGUUCACCAUGUGUAGCAUAGGUGGGAGACGUUAAUGUCGGGGGCGCCAGCCUCCGAAUAGUCUUCAGUGAAAUACCACUCUUGGCGAUCUUGGAGUCUAACCUGCGACCGUUAUCCGGCGUGGGAACAGUGUUAGGCGGGCAGUUUGACUGGGGCGGUCUCCUCCUAAAAGGUAACGGAGGAGUGCAAAGGUACCCUCAAUGCGGUUGGCAAUCGCAUGAAGAGCGUAAAGGUAUAAGGGUGCUUGACUGCGAGACACAUAGGUCGAGCAGGUACGAAAGUAGGUCUUAGUGAUCCGGUGGUCCCGUGUGGAAGGGCCAUCGCUCAUCAGAUAAAAGGUACUCCGGGGAUAACAGGCUGAUCACGCCCAAGAGUCCAUAUCGACGGCGUGGUUUGGCACCUCGAUGUCGGCUCAUCGCAUCCUGGGGCUGAAGGCGGUCCCAAGGGUUGGUCUGUUCGCCCAUUAAAGCGGUACGUGAGCUGGGUUUAGACCGUCGUGAGACAGGUCGGUCCCUAUCUGGUGUGGGCGCAGGAUGAUUGCGGAGACUCUUUCCUAGUACGAGAGGAUUGGAAAGAACGGACCUCUGGUGUGCCAGUUGUCGCGCUAGCGGCAUCGCUGGAUAGCUAUGUCCGGGCUGGAUAAGCGCUGGAAGCAUCUAAGUGCGAAGCCAACUCCAAGACCGGUCAUCCCAUGAGACACCUGGUAGACCACCAGGUUGAUAGGCCGGAAGUGUAAGGACAGCAAUGUUCUCAGCUAACCGGUACUAACCAGUCGAUCGGCUUGAUCC
This 1297-nucleotide ribosomal RNA is filed under the name metagenome. RNAcentral describes it as "bacterial LSU rRNA". It matches the Rfam family "Bacterial large subunit ribosomal RNA", at positions 1609 to 2925 of the family's 2925-position model. The record is from RNAcentral.